RNAcentral lists this ribosomal RNA (460 nucleotides) under uncultured bacterium. RNAcentral's name for it is "partial 16S ribosomal RNA". It matches the Rfam family "Bacterial small subunit ribosomal RNA", at positions 338 to 795 of the family's 1533-position model. The record is from RNAcentral.
CCUACGGGUGGCAGCAGUGAGGAAUAUUGGUCAAUGGGCGCGAGCCUGAACCAGCCAAGUAGCGUGAAGGAUGACUGCCCUACGGGUUGUAAACUUCUUUUAUAAAGGAAUAAAGUGAGGCACGUGUGCCUUUUUGUAUGUACUUUAUGAAUAAGGAUAGGCUAACCCCGUGCCAGCAGCCGCGGUGAUACGGAGGAGUCGUGCGUUAAUCGGAUUUAGUGGGUUUAAAGGGAGUGUAGAGGGGUUGUCAAGUCAGGUGUGAAAGUUUGCGGCUCAACCGUACAAUUGCAAUUGAUACUGGCAGCCUUGAGUACAGUAGAGGUAGGCGGAAUUCGUGGUGUAGCGGUGAAAUGCUUAGAUAUCACGAAGAACUCCGAUUGCGAAGGCAGCUUACUAAACUGCCACUGACAUUGAUGCUCGAAAGUGUGGGUAUCAAACAGGAUUAGAUACCCGGGUAGUC